UACAGAGGUCUCAAGCGUUGUUCGGAUUCAUUGGGCGUAAAGGGUGUGUAGGUGGCGCGCUAAGUCGGGUGUGAAAUUUCGGAGCUUAACUCCGAAACUGCAUUCGAUACUGGCGUGCUUGAGGACUAGAGAGGAGACUGGAAUUCAUGGUGUAGCAGUGAAAUGCGUAGAGAUCAUGAGGAAGACCAGUGGCGAAGGCGGGUCUCUGGACAGUUCCUGACACUGAGACACGAAGGCCAGGGGAGCAAACGGG
RNAcentral lists this ribosomal RNA (253 nucleotides) under uncultured bacterium. Its description in RNAcentral is "partial 16S ribosomal RNA". It matches the Rfam family "Bacterial small subunit ribosomal RNA", at positions 524 to 776 of the family's 1533-position model. The record is from RNAcentral.